This 264-nucleotide ribosomal RNA is filed under the name uncultured bacterium. RNAcentral describes it as "partial 16S ribosomal RNA". It matches the Rfam family "Bacterial small subunit ribosomal RNA", at positions 524 to 787 of the family's 1533-position model. The record is from RNAcentral.
UACGGAGGGUGCGAGCGUUAAUCGGAAUUACUGGGCGUAAAGGGCGCGUAGGCGGCUGAUCAAGUCAGGUGUGAAAGCCCAUGGCUCAACCAUGGACGUGCAUUUGAAACUGGCAGACUUGAGUAUUGGAGGGGGUGGUGGAAUUCCCGGUGUAGAGGUGAAAUUCGUAGAUAUCGGGAGGAAUACCGGUGGCGAAGGCGACCACCUGGCCAAAUACUGACGCUGAGGUGCGAAAGCGCGGGGAGCAAACAGGAUUAGAUACCC